This 74-nucleotide transfer RNA is filed under the name Pirellula sp. RNAcentral describes it as "tRNA-Arg". It matches the Rfam family "tRNA". From Rfam's summary of the family: Transfer RNA (tRNA) molecules are approximately 80 nucleotides in length. RNAcentral also lists the same sequence under 1 other name. The record is from RNAcentral. Lineage: Bacteria; Pseudomonadati; Planctomycetota; Planctomycetia; Pirellulales; Pirellulaceae.
GCCCUAGUAGCUCAGAUGGAUAGAGCGCGGCUUUCCUAAAGCUGAGGUCACAGGUUCGAAUCCUGUCUGGGGUA